Molecule: ribosomal RNA, 429 nt
Filed under: Chloroflexota bacterium
Lineage: Bacteria; Bacillati; Chloroflexota
Description: Chloroflexi bacterium partial 16S ribosomal RNA
Rfam family: Bacterial small subunit ribosomal RNA
Source: RNAcentral
UAGGGAAUCUUCGGCAAUGGACGAAAGUCUGACCGAGCAACGCCGCGUGAGUGAAGAAGGUUUUCGGAUCGUAAAACUCUGUUGUUAGAGAAGAACAAGGACGUUAGUAACUGAACGUCCCCUGACGGUAUCUAACCAGAAAGCCACGGCUAACUACGUGCCAGCAGCCGCGGUAAUACGUAGGUGGCAAGCGUUGUCCGGAUUUAUUGGGCGUAAAGCGAGCGCAGGCGGUUUCUUAAGUCUGAUGUGAAAGCCCCCGGCUCAACCGGGGAGGGUCAUUGGAAACUGGGAAACUUGAGUGCAGAAGAGGAGAGUGGAAUUCCAUGUGUAGCGGUGAAAUGCGUAGAUAUAUGGAGGAACACCAGUGGCGAAGGCGGCUCUCUGGACGAAGACUGACGCUCAGGUGCGAAAGCGUGGGGAGCAAACAGG